GGGUAGAGGUAGGGUUAGGUUUAGGGGUAGGGUUAGUGGUUGGGGUAGGGCUAGGGGAGGGUUAGUGGUUGGAGUAGGGUUAAGGUAGGGUAACCCUAACCCUAUUCCUAACCCUACCCCUAACCUUACCAUACCCCUAACCAUACCCUAAUGUUACACCUAACCCUACCAUAACCCUAUCCCUAACCCUACCCCUUACCCUACCCAUUCCCUAACAUUGCCCCUACCCUAACCUUACCCCUAACCUAAUCCUACCCCUAACCC
Pelobates cultripes (western spadefoot toad) is the source of this 264-nucleotide non-coding RNA. Lineage: Eukaryota; Metazoa; Chordata; Amphibia; Anura; Pelobatidae. The record is from the annotation of a GenBank genome assembly.